GUUUUUAGUUUUAGAAGAAUGAGUCUUUCCUAUAUGCAAUGAUGAAGAUGGAGUACUUGGGAUCAACAAAAUUCUAAAACUACGGAACCCAACUGGUUUCUACCGGGAGAACAAGAUCCAGAGCAAUGACUCCAACAGUUUGGAUUGAAAAUGGGAGUGAUACUGUUGAAGAAUGUCAAGGACAUGUGUAGAUUUUCUAGGGUUUGAAAAAUGAAACUUCAGAUUAAUUCUCU
Molecule: unclassified non-coding RNA, 233 nt
Filed under: Hevea brasiliensis (rubber tree)
Lineage: Eukaryota; Viridiplantae; Streptophyta; Magnoliopsida; Malpighiales; Euphorbiaceae
Source: RNAcentral